Molecule: ribosomal RNA, 497 nt
Filed under: uncultured bacterium
Lineage: Bacteria
Description: partial 16S ribosomal RNA
Rfam family: Bacterial small subunit ribosomal RNA
Source: RNAcentral
GAUGAACGCUGGCGGCGUGCCUAAUACAUGCAAGUCGAGCGAACGGACGAGAAGCUUGCUUUUCUGAUGUUAGCGGCGGACGGGUGAGUAACACGUGGAUAACCUACCUAUAAGACUGGGAUAACUUCGGGAAACCGGAGCUAAUACCGGAUAAUAUUUUGAACCGCAUGGUUCAAAAGUGAAAGACGGUCCUGCUGUCACUUAUAGAUGGAUCCGCGCUGCAUUAGCUAGUUGGUAAGGUAACGGCUUACCAAGGCAACGAUGCAUAGCCGACCUGAGAGGGUGAUCGGCCACACUGGGACUGAGACACGGUCCAGACUCCUACGGGAGGCAGCAGUAGGGAAUCUUCCGCAAUGGGCGAAAGCCUGACGGAGCAACGCCGCGUGAGUGAUGAAGGUCUUCGGAUCGUAAAACUCUGUUAUUAGGGAAGAACAUAUGUGUAAGUAACUGUGCACAUCUUGACGGUACCUAAUCAGAAAGCCACGGCUAACUACGUG